This 497-nucleotide ribosomal RNA is filed under the name uncultured bacterium. RNAcentral's name for it is "partial 16S ribosomal RNA". It matches the Rfam family "Bacterial small subunit ribosomal RNA", at positions 28 to 507 of the family's 1533-position model. The record is from RNAcentral.
GAUGAACGCUGGCGGCGUGCCUAAUACAUGCAAGUCGAGCGAACAGACGAGGAGCUUGCUCCUCUGACGUUAGCGGCGGACGGGUGAGUAACACGUGGAUAACCUACCUAUAAGACUGGGAUAACUUCGGGAAACCGGAGCUAAUACCGGAUAAUAUAUUGAACCGCAUGGUUCAAUAGUGAAAGACGGUUUUGCUGUCACUUAUAGAUGGAUCCGCGCCGCAUUCGCUAGUUGGUAAGGUAACGGCUUACCAAGGCGACGAUGCGUAGCCGACCUGAGAGGGUGAUCGGCCACACUGGAACUGAGACACGGUCCAGACUCCUACGGGAGGAAGCAGUAGGGAAUCUUCCGCAAUGGGCGAAAGCCUGACGGAGCAACGCCGCGUGAGUGAUGAAGGUCUUCGGAUCGUAAAACUCUGUUAGUAGGGAAGAACAAAUGUGUAAGUAACUAUGCACGUCUUGACGGUACCUAAUCAGAAAGCCACGGCUAACUACGUG